Molecule: long non-coding RNA, 1233 nt
Filed under: Capra hircus (goat)
Lineage: Eukaryota; Metazoa; Chordata; Mammalia; Artiodactyla; Bovidae
Description: lncRNA (ENSCHIG00010021060.1)
Source: RNAcentral
CAGAUGAAAAAGUUGAAUGAAAACACUGUUUUAUGUUCUUUCUCUCCAGAUGACUGACUUUUGCUAUCUUGGUACCUAUAUCUGGCCCCAUUCCACUCUUUUCUUGCACAGGAACAUUUGCGAAUUCAUCAGUUCUUGUUCUGUACUCUGUAUCACAGGAAUUAUGUGGGUAAAUCUUUUUUUGAAGGAAAGUUGAAGUUACUCAGAAAGUCUGUUUAAAGAAAUACAUUUCAGGGUAUUUGUGAAUAAACAACCACCUAUCUCAAUAUUCUGUUUGUAUAUAUUAAAUAUAAGUGUGAAAAAUUACAAUUUAGCUCCUAUAAUAAUUAAUAUGAAAAGGUAACUAUUCGAAAGUGAAAAUGGCCUAUGCAUAUUAAAAAUUUCAAAUGAGCAAAUANAGAUUGGAGGAAUAUUUUUGCAUAUAAGAUGUAUAUGCUUUAUGAUCAACCUCAAUAUAAAAGACAAAUUACCAGAAUAUUUAAAAAUGUUGUUUGAAAAGUGUUUUCCCAAGGAAAGUGAAUUAUUCACUGGGGUUUCAAAAACUACUUUCACUGAAAUUUUUUAUUGAGUCUAAACAGUUAAGAAGGGAUCUAUAACUUUAUUACCUUUAUUUUACUGGUGACUGGAAAUAUUUCUAUUGUGUUUCUGUGUAUAUUUUUAAUAAAUUAUUUUUGGCCUUUUAUGAAGACAAAUCUUAUUAAAUUUGAAACAUUUUGUGUAUUUUCUUUUUCAGAAAAAGUUCUGUGGUCUUUAGUUUUGUUUUAAAAAUCUGUCACUUAUACGUUCCAAUUUGAAAUGUCAUCUACGUUCUCCUUAUGUUUUAGUGUGAGCGAUGAAGAGGACUUUUGAUGAAUUAAUUAAAUUUCCUUGAUUUUAAAUUAAAAUAUUCAAAAUUAAAAAGUACCUUGUAAGGACAAAGAACUGGACUGGCUUUCCUACUCUCUUUUAAAUGAACUGUUCAUCAUGUGGAAGCGUGAGUCGAGUAUAAUAGAGGAAAAUCAGUAUUUGCUAAAUGAGAGAAACAAACCCCAAACACAGCCGCCGCCUCAGUGCCCAGGAGUGCUCAUCACCAAAAUAAGAAAACCUAAAAGAAAAUGGUGUCCAGAUCAGUGCAUGGAUAAGGUCCAGUGUGAAUUUAGGGGUCCACUGAACUGGUAAGUAACACAGAUACGCAAGCAGUCAAGUAGCCAGUUCCUCUCCCUAUCCCCCAGUGUUAAAAAAAAAAAAAUACAA